This 468-nucleotide ribosomal RNA is filed under the name uncultured bacterium. RNAcentral's name for it is "partial 16S ribosomal RNA". It matches the Rfam family "Bacterial small subunit ribosomal RNA", at positions 28 to 507 of the family's 1533-position model. The record is from RNAcentral.
GACGAACGCUGGCGGCGUGCUUAACACAUGCAAGUCGAACGGAAAGGCCCUGCUUUUGUGGGGCGCUCGAGUGCCGAACGGGUGAGUAACACGUGUGUAACCUGCCCUUGUCUUUGGGAUAACUUCACGAAACUGGGGCUCAUACCGGAUAGGAGCUCCUGCUGCAUGGUGGGGGUUGGAAAGUUUCGGCGGUUGGGGAUGGACUCGCGGCUUAUCAGCUUGUUGGUGGGGUAGUGGCUUACCAAGGGUUUGACGGGUAGCCGGCCUGAGAGGGUGACCGGCCACAUUGGGACUGAGAGACGGCCCAGACUCCUACGGGAGGCAGCAGUGGGGAAUAUUGCAGAAUGGGCGGAAGCCUGAUGCAGCAACGCCGCGUGCGGGAUAACGGCCUUCGGGUUGUAAACCGCUUUCGCCUGUGACGAAGCGUGAGUGACGGUAAUGGGUAAAGAAGCAACGGCUAACUACGUG